This 602-nucleotide ribosomal RNA is filed under the name Cladophora sp. HUN1441. RNAcentral describes it as "partial 28S ribosomal RNA". It matches the Rfam family "Eukaryotic large subunit ribosomal RNA", at positions 31 to 664 of the family's 3401-position model. The record is from RNAcentral. Lineage: Eukaryota; Viridiplantae; Chlorophyta; Ulvophyceae; Cladophorales; Cladophoraceae.
AAAAUAAGCAUAUCAAUAAGCGGAGGAAAAGAAACCACCAGGGAUUCCCUUAGUAACGGCGAGCGAAAAGGGAUGAGCCCAGCAUGUAAAUCUCCGGUUUCCGGCGAAUUGUAGUCUGGAGUAGCAACUCCUGGUGCCGUGCCGGCCCAAGCAUCUUGGAAUAGAUCGCCUCAGAGGGUGAGAGCCCCGUAGGUCGGUACGAGCUCCUACACGGAGUGCUCACGCAGAGUCGGGUUGUUUGGGAAUGCAGCCCCAAUUGGGUGGUAAACCCCAUCUAAGGCUAAAUACCUGUGGGAGACCGAUAGCAAAAAAGUACCUCGAGGGAACGAUGAAAAGACCGCUGGCAAGCGAGUGAAAGAGUGCAUGAAAUUGUAUAGUGGGAAGGGAUGGCCUGGCGUAUUGCCCGCGGGUAUACACUGCUCCUUGAGCUCUUGAAUACACCGUGGGCUGGCUGGUGCCGACACCUGCGCUUGCAAAUCCCCAAACUAAGGUGUUUGGCUCUUCAAGCGCGGGUGUUGAGGUUGAUCGUCGCUUUGUUUUAAACUGCGUCGACAAAGCACCAGCUGAAGCCUGGCCAUCUACCCGUCUGGAAAAACCCGGAA